GAUGAACGCUGGCGGCGUGCCUAAUACAUGCAAGUCGAGCGAACAGAUGAGGAGCUUGCUCCUCUGACGUUAGCGGCGGACGGGUGAGUAACACGUGGAUAACCUACCUAUAAGACUGGGAUAACUUCGGGAAACCGGAGCUAAUACCGGAUAAUAUAUUGAACCGCAUGGUUCAAUAGUGAAAGACGGUUUUGCUGUCACUUAUAGAUGGAUCCGCGCCGCAUUAGCUAGUUGGUAAGGUAACGGCUUACCAAGGCGACGAUGCGUAGCCGACCUGAUAGGGUGAUCGGCCACACUGGAACUGAGACACGGUCCAGACUCCUACGGGAGGCAGCAGUAGGGAAUCUUCCGCAAUGGGCGAAAGCCUGACGGAGCAACGCCGCGUGAGUGAUGAAGGUCUUCGGAUCGUAAAACUCUGUUAUUAGGGAAGAACAAAUGUGUAAGUAACUAUGCACGUCUUGACGGUACCUAAUCAGAAAGCCACGGCUAACUACGUG
This 497-nucleotide ribosomal RNA is filed under the name uncultured bacterium. Its description in RNAcentral is "partial 16S ribosomal RNA". It matches the Rfam family "Bacterial small subunit ribosomal RNA", at positions 28 to 507 of the family's 1533-position model. The record is from RNAcentral.